GAUGAACGCUGGCGGCGUGCCUAAUACAUGCAAGUCGAGCGAACGGACGAGAAGCUUGCUUUUCUGAUGUUAGCGGCGGACGGGUGAGUAACACGUGUAUAACCUACCUAUAAGACUGGGAUAACUUCGGGAAACCGGAGCUAAUACCGGAUAAUAUUUUGAACCGCAUGGUUCAAAAGUGAAAGACGGUCUUGCUGUCACUUAUAGAUGGAUCCGCGCUGCAUUAGCUAGUUGGUAAGGUAACGGCUUACCAAGGCAACGAUGCAUAGCCGACCUGAGAGGGUGAUCGGCCACACUGGAACUGAGACACGGUCAAGACUACUACGGGAGGCAGCAGUAGCGAAUCUUCCGCAAUGGGCGAAAGCCUGACGGAGCAACGCCGCGUGAGUGAUGAAGGUCUUCGGAUCGUAAAACUCUGUUAUUAGGGAAGAACAUAUGUGUAAGUAACUGUGCACAUCUUGACGGUACCUAAUCAGAAAGCCACGGCUAACUACGUG
RNAcentral lists this ribosomal RNA (497 nucleotides) under uncultured bacterium. RNAcentral describes it as "partial 16S ribosomal RNA". It matches the Rfam family "Bacterial small subunit ribosomal RNA", at positions 28 to 507 of the family's 1533-position model. The record is from RNAcentral.